Long non-coding RNA from Apus apus (common swift), 494 nucleotides. RefSeq lists it as uncharacterized. The record is from RefSeq and is a predicted model, not a curated record. The transcript is spliced from 3 exons. Lineage: Eukaryota; Metazoa; Chordata; Aves; Apodiformes; Apodidae.
GCACGUUCAGAAGAGCUUUGCCAGGGCUGGGACUUUGCAGUCAGGCAGCAGCAGUCCCAGGCAGGAGCAUCAGAAGAGCCUCUGAAUGCACUCUCUUCAGUACUUGGGCUUACAGAUUCAAGAGCUGCCACACACGGAUGAGUGGUUCCUCUGUAAGUUACAAGGAAGAUGGGUUCCUCUACGUGCUUCAAGAGGUUUCUAAGCCAAGAAAGACCAUUUGUGCUCUGCAAAGCAUCAGGAUAGGGAGGGGUGCUGUGAAGCUGGAUCACCCCUCUGUCCCACCACCUGAACCCUGCCUGUGUCCUGGCUGAACAGGGGUGCUGGAUUGUGCCACCUGAGGCUGACCGAGGUGCCUGGUGAGGCCUGGUGACAGCAGGAACCCUUCCCUGGACCCUCAGCAGACUCUGCAGAGAUGAGGGCACACUGUGUGUCCUGCUGGGCUGUGCCAGGGAGCCAGCCUGAAAUAGACAACGGAAGGUGGAUCUGUGCAUCAG